Molecule: ribosomal RNA, 392 nt
Filed under: uncultured bacterium
Lineage: Bacteria
Description: partial 16S ribosomal RNA
Rfam family: Bacterial small subunit ribosomal RNA
Source: RNAcentral
AUACGGAGGAUCCGAGCGUUAUCCGGAUUUAUUGGGUUUAAAGGGUGCGCAGGCGGCCAUUUAAGUCAGCGGUUAAAUCGUGGGGCUCAACCCCAUUCUGCCGUUGAUACUGGGUGGCUUGAUUGCGGUCGAGGUUGGCGGAAUUCGUUGUGUAGCGGUGAAAUGCAUAGAUAUGACGAAGAACACCGAUUGCGAAGGCAGCUUACUAAGCUGUUACUGACGCUGAGGCACGAAAGCGUGGGGAUCAAACAGGAUUAGAUACCCUGGUAGUCCACGCUGUAAACGAUGAUUACUGGUUGUUAGCGAUAUAUAGCUAGUGACUGAGCGAAAGCAUUAAGUAAUCCACCUGGGGAGUACGUCGACAACGAUGAAACUCAAAGGAAUUGGCGGGG